Long non-coding RNA from Xenia sp. Carnegie-2017, 363 nucleotides. RefSeq lists it as uncharacterized. The transcript is spliced from 2 exons. Lineage: Eukaryota; Metazoa; Cnidaria; Anthozoa; Malacalcyonacea; Xeniidae. The record is from RefSeq and is a predicted model, not a curated record.
GUUCUAUUUGCUGACAACAUGCAGUGAAGAUCAGAUGUAAACGAUUGAUUCACUAAGGAUGCUUUGAAUGUCUUGAAAUUAAGAUUCAAGAACCAAAGAAAGACAGCAAGAAGGUUGUGUGUGUUUUGAUGCUUGAUGAAAUGUCAAUUCACAAACAUGUGAAAUGGGAUGGCCAUAAAGUGUGUGUUUAUGUAAACAUUGGCAUUGAGAUUUUUGAUGACUCAAUGCAGAUGUGAAGCUACAAAUUGUAUAAUCAAUUGGGUUUUAUGUAACUUAAUGAUCAAAUCAUGUCAUGAUCCUAUCAUUUAGUAGAGUUUUGUUUGAAUGCUACUAAUAUUUAUUACAUGUGAUAAAACCUUUGAA